UACAGAGGGUGCAAGCGUUGUUCGGAAUUAUUGGGCGUAAAGCGCGUGUAGGCGGCUUUGCAAGUCGGGUGUGAAAUCCCUCAGCUUAACUGAGGAAGUGCGCCCGAAACUGCCGAGCUUGAAUACCGGAGAGGAUGGCGGAAUUCCCAACGUAGAGGUGAAAUUCGUAGAUAUGGGGAGGAACACCGGUGGCGAAGGCGGCCAUCUGGACGGCUAUUGACGCUGAGACGCGAAAGCAUGGGGAGCAAACAGG
RNAcentral lists this ribosomal RNA (253 nucleotides) under uncultured bacterium. RNAcentral's name for it is "partial 16S ribosomal RNA". It matches the Rfam family "Bacterial small subunit ribosomal RNA", at positions 524 to 776 of the family's 1533-position model. The record is from RNAcentral.